CUUGGGAUAUAUCAGAGAAUAGCUAAGAAGUAUAGCAUCUCCCUUACACCGAGAAG
This 56-nucleotide transfer RNA is filed under the name Chilatherina bleheri (Bleher's rainbowfish). Its description in RNAcentral is "tRNA-Val". Lineage: Eukaryota; Metazoa; Chordata; Actinopteri; Atheriniformes; Melanotaeniidae. The record is from RNAcentral.